AAAGUGAAAUUAAUGUUUUUUUUUUUCUUUUUGGCUUGAUGAACACAUUCUAGAACUAGAACAUGUUUAUGGAUGCACAAUCUUGCAGAUAUACUAAAAAAAUUGAAUUGUACAGUUUCAGUGGGUAAAUAGUAUGGUAUGUGAAUUACAUCUCAAUUUUUAUAAGGAAAUGAAGAUUUCAGUUUUGAACAUGUUGCGUUUACUCUCCAGAUGUGAAUAUCAAGAAAUCAGUUCCAUUGAUCCGUCAGUACCUCUAGUUCAUUUCCAGCAGCAAUAGAAAUAAUUUUAACUGAUUCUUACACUGAUUCCUCUUUGACUAUGGUGGUGUUUGAGCUUUUGUACAUUUGCAAAGCUCUCCAUGUGCUAUAAGCCAGCCAUCCCUAAGAAGUCUUACCACUGCUUUUACCAAGGCUUCCAGAACUACAUGGAUCACAACCACCAGUUCCACAGAUGUGAUUGAUACAUGUAAGCGUUUACUGAGAUUAACAAUGCACCAGGCACUUUAUAUAAAUUAAUAAUAAUCUGCAAAAAUCCCUGCAAGUUAUCUAUUAUUACAUUUUAUAGAUGAAAAACUGAGUGUCAGAGAGUUUAAAUAAGGUUUGCAAGGUUAUACAACUUGUGACUUAAAGGGCUACAUGAUGUUACCUGUAAUAUUACAUAGACGGUUCUCCUUUGGAUAGAUUAAAACCAUGGCUAUCAAUACAGGCAGCACAUUUAAAUCACUUUUUAAAAAAGAGGGAAUAGUUAGGUACCUUCCCAAACCAAUUAAGUCAGAACAUCUGAAGGUAGAGUUGAAGCAUUAGUUCUUUAAUCUCCCUAGAAAAGUUUAUCACGUACUAAAAGCUAUUCUUUAAGAGAACCUUGAGAUUUGACACCUCUUUUGAGUCUUUCAGAACAUGCGUGUUUCAACAUGCCCUUGGUUUCUAUGAUAUAAAUUAUAUUACAAUAUAUUCAACUUAACCAAUGUGAAGCAUUCCAUGGUGAUGGAAAGGACCUCAUUGGAUCAUUUGUCUCUUCUCAUGGGUCUUUAUGAUGAAAAAAAGCUUUCUUACAAUGAGAAAAUUCUCCUAAGACUACACAACUGAUUUCUCAUUAUGGGUCAUCAUAGUGUUAAUCCUUUAAUUCCUUUGUUUGUACCGUCAUUGCAGUAUACAAAGGCUCCCACAAUUCAUACAGUAACUCAUUUGGUGUGCCCGUUAGGAAAAGGAAGAAAGACACAUGUUGUUUAAUGGAAAUGUUUGAUUUCUUUUGUUAAUUAUUGGAAUUAAGUUUACAUAAACUUUGAGAAAUAGUAUAUUAGAAAUAUCAAGAGUUUGAUAAGCUUUAAAGUUUUGAUAGAAAUACAUGUUUAAAUCUACUCAACUGUAAAAGACAAAGGUUCAUGUGAUCUUAGAUUGUAUCCAUCCAUUAUAUCUGUAUUUUUAUACACUACAGAAUAGAAUUGAAAUACAUGGCUUGCAAAUUGGGCACCCUUAAGAACCAUGAAAGGCUAUGGCCAUCAUUUUCUUGCCUGCCUGGAAAAAGAAGUCAUUGAACAAUUAUUUAUUGGGUGAAUCUAUGACUAUGUGUAUGUGUAUAUCUAUAUGCCUGUGUAUUCUCAAUAAAUUAUAAAUUCCUUGAGAGCAGAGAAUCUCUUUUCAUGUUUUUAUAUUUGCUACUUCUCCCAGAAUGAUCUAGAUACAUAAUAAGUUGUCUAAUAAAUAUAACCUAAAUGUUAUUUGAUAUUUUACUGUCUUCAUUAUUCAGUGAAACAUAAUUGGUAAACUAUAAUAUGAAAAAAAACAUAUUCUCUUUCAAGAAAAUAUAGAAGUUUUAAAUUUUUUUCAUUCUUAUUUCUCUCAUCUUUCCUCAUAAAAAUAGAUGACUUGGAAGGUAUCUCCAAAAAUUCAGGAAUGUAUUUUAAGUAAUUUGAAAAGGAAUAUAAGAAUAAAAUGCCCAUUUUGGGAGAGAUCUCCUUGAAAUACCUGCAAAACCAUUUCUUUUCCAAUAGCCUUGAUACUCAAAUUGUGCUCUGCAUAGCAGCUGUGGUGCUAUCUGCUGAGUGUUUCUUAUAACUGCAGAAACUGCGAGCCCACUGUAAGCAUGCUAAUCCAGAAUAUUCACUUAAAUUUGAGAAACACUAAUGUACACUAUAUUCCCAUUUCUUCUUUACUUGAUUUUUUGCGCUUCAAAAUAAAAAAAAAAAAAUGGGGGGUGGGUAUGGUUGUCCUCUCAGAAUGUUUUCUGCCUAGGGCAUAUUCCCAAGAGGUAUCCUUUAAAACAUUUGUUCAGGUAUGAGCUAACAGAGCUUCUGGAAAGUGGACCUGUUGUGACAAAUAAAUAUCAUGUGUGUAGACCAGUGGAGAAAGGUACCAUUCGCUAAUAAUUUUGAUAACCAGGAUUUCUAUGAUAUAGUGUUUCAUAACCUUUCCGGGGGAGGUUAAAGGCACUUCUCCUGUCUGUUCAUCUGGUGGCAAAGUAGAAGUACCCCCUGCACUCUGUCUAUAGUCAUGGAGAAUUUUCUUGAAGCCCAAGAGGUUUUCAAAUUAUUUUGUUUCACCUAGACAAUGUCCUCCAUAUUCUUGGGUCUAAAGGAGGGUAAAACAAAAUUCAGGCAAAACCAUAUAUUUAGACAGCCAUAAACUCUUUACCUUUUUAGAAACACUGUUUCUUUUUUAAAUUCUAGUUGCCUUCAUUUUUCAUUCAGAUGCUUCAGAUUGCGUUGCAGCAAAGAAACGUAAUCAGUUGACCUGAUAUUCUUAAAAUCAACAGACCAAAACACAUUUUAUUAUGAAUUCCUUUAAUGUUUUCUUCUUUCUGUGUUUUAAUAUACAGUAAUUUUAUUCUUCAUUCUUCAUUCAGAUGCUCAAAUUGUGCUGCAGAAGAGAAGUGUAAUCAGUUGACCUGAUACUCUUAAAAUCAAUAGAUAAAAACAUAUUUGAUUCUGAAUUCCUGUAAUGUUUUCUUCUUUAUAUGUUUUAAUGUACAAUAAUUUCCAGCCAUUGUUUGUAGUUUGAUAUAUUGAAUGACCUUUGGACUAGAAGUAGGUAAAGAACUCACAUCCUAAUGCCAGCCCUUGCAAUUGCUGGACAUAUGACCCUAUGCAAGUGAUCAGUGUCCCUGGGUGAGGAUUGCUCUUCUUAAAAAUGACAGUGUUGGGAUAGAUAGUCUCUGGAACAUCCACCUCCAUGAUUCCAUGAGGCCACACUAGCCUCAUUUUCAUAAAGCUUUGAAUAAAUCUCAUUUCUAUCCACAGAUGAAUGGAUUAAGAAGAUGUGGUAUAUAUACAAUGGAAUAUUACUCAGCCAUAAAAAAAGAACAAUAUGAUGGCAUUUGUGGCAACAUGGAUAGAACUAGAGAGUCUCAUACUAAGUGAUGUGAGAAAGAGAAAGACAAAUACCAUAUGAUAUCGCUAGUAUGUGAAAUCUAAAAAAUGGCACAGAUGAUCCAAUCUACAAAACGGAAACAGAUCAUGUAUAUAGAGAGCAGACUUGUGGUUGCCAGGGGAGUGGGGAGGGAGUGGGAUGGACAGUGAAUUUGGGGUUAGUGGAUACAAACUGUACCACUUGGAAUGGAUGGGCAAUGGGCUCCUGCUGUACAGCACAGGGAGUUUGUGUGAUUGGUUCACUCAGCUGUACAACAGAAAUUGAAGAAACAUUAUAAACCAACCAUACUUUAACAAAAAAAACAUAAAAAUAAAUAAGUCCUCUUGCUUCUG
This 3697-nucleotide long non-coding RNA is filed under the name Sus scrofa (pig). Its description in RNAcentral is "lncRNA (ENSSSCG00000052217.1)". The record is from RNAcentral. Lineage: Eukaryota; Metazoa; Chordata; Mammalia; Artiodactyla; Suidae.